AAUCAUGCUAUGCAUGUUCAUAUGGCAGGUUUGCAGAUUCAACUGUUUUGGUGAGAUCCUGAUUGACUGGUAUCACUGCAUAAAGUUGUUUUCUGGAUAUUGCUUUUACCAUGUGACCUAUGUCUGGAACAUCAUUAGGACCUUACAACCAGACAAUAUUUCUAGAUCAUCACAGAGCUUAUUUACUCUAGAUUGGAUUUAUCUGGAAUCUAAGAGAUUUACAAUGGGG
This is a long non-coding RNA of Mus caroli (Ryukyu mouse), 229 nucleotides long. RefSeq lists it as uncharacterized. The record is from RefSeq and is a predicted model, not a curated record. Lineage: Eukaryota; Metazoa; Chordata; Mammalia; Rodentia; Muridae.